RNAcentral lists this transfer RNA (85 nucleotides) under Chloroflexota bacterium. RNAcentral describes it as "tRNA-Leu". It matches the Rfam family "tRNA". From Rfam's summary of the family: Transfer RNA (tRNA) molecules are approximately 80 nucleotides in length. Their secondary structure includes four short double-helical elements and three loops (D, anti-codon, and T loops). Further hydrogen bonds mediate the characteristic L-shaped molecular structure. tRNAs have two regions of fundamental functional importance: the anti-codon, which is responsible for specific mRNA codon recognition, and the 3' end, to which the tRNAs corresponding amino acid is attached (by aminoacyl-tRNA synthetases). tRNAs cope with the degeneracy of the genetic code in two manners: having more than one tRNA (with a specific anti-codon) for a particular amino acid; and 'wobble' base-pairing, i.e. permitting non-standard base-pairing at the 3rd anti-codon position. Lineage: Bacteria; Bacillati; Chloroflexota. The record is from RNAcentral.
GGGGCGGUGGCGAAAUGGCAGACGCCGAAGACUUAAAAUCUUCUGCUGCGAAAGCAGCGUGUGGGUUCGAGUCCCACCCGCCCUA